GAUGAACGCUGGCGGCGUGCUUAACACAUGCAAGUCGAACGAUGAAGCCCAGCUUGCUGGGUGGAUUAGUGGCGAACGGGUGAGUAACACGUGAGUAACCUGCCCUUGACUCUGGGAUAAGCCUGGGAAACUGGGUCUAAUACUGGAUAUGACUUCUCAUCGCAUGGUGGGGGGUGGAAAGAUUUAUUGGUCUUGGAUGGACUCGCGGCCUAUCAGCUUGUUGGUGAGGUAAUGGCUCACCAAGGCGACGACGGGUAGCCGGCCUGAGAGGGUGACCAGCCACACUGGGACUGAGACACGGCCCAGACUCCUACGGGAGGCAGCAGUGGGGAAUAUUGCACAAUGGGCGCAAGCCUGAUGCAGCGACGCCGCGUGAGGGAUGACGGCCUUCGGGUUGUAAACCUCUUUCAGUAGGGAAGAAGCGAGAGUGACGGUACCUGCAGAAGAAGCGCCGGCUAACUACGUG
RNAcentral lists this ribosomal RNA (466 nucleotides) under uncultured bacterium. RNAcentral describes it as "partial 16S ribosomal RNA". It matches the Rfam family "Bacterial small subunit ribosomal RNA", at positions 28 to 507 of the family's 1533-position model. The record is from RNAcentral.